RNAcentral lists this ribosomal RNA (402 nucleotides) under Labiotermes orthocephalus. Its description in RNAcentral is "partial 16S ribosomal RNA". Lineage: Eukaryota; Metazoa; Arthropoda; Insecta; Blattodea; Termitidae. The record is from RNAcentral.
CAAAAACAUUUUUUCUUGUUAGUGUUUGAAGUAUGGCCUGCCCGCUGACGUUUUAGUUGAAGGGCCGCGGUAUUUUGACCGUGCAAAGGUAGCAUAAUCAUUAGUUCUUUAAUUGUGAUCUGGUAUGAAUGGCUUGACGAGACACAAACUGUCUCAGGGGUAUUGUUAAUUGAAGUUGAAUUUGGUUUUUAAGUUAAAAUUCUUAAAUGUUUUUAUGGGACGAGAAGACCCUAUAGAGUUUUACAUUUGUUAUAACUUAUGUUAUUGUUUGUUUUUAUUUUAAGUUUUGUUUUUGUUUUGUUGGGGUGAUGGGAGGAAUAAUAUUUAACUCCUCUUUAUAUUUGUAUAUUUAUGUAUAUAUUGUUUGAUCCAUUUAUUUUGAUUAUAAAAUUAAAUUACCUU